CAGCAGCCGCGGGAAUACGUAGGGUGCAAGCGUUAAUCGGAAUUACUGGGUGUAAAGGGAGCGUAGACGGUUAAACAAGUCUGAAGUGAAAUGCCGGGGCUCAACCCCGGAGCUGCUUUGGGAACUGUAGAACUGGAGUGUCGGAGGGGUAAGCGGAAUUCCCAGUGUAGCGGUGAAAUGCGUAGAUAUUGGGAGGAACACCGGCGGCGAAGGCGGCUUACUGGACGACAACUGACGUUGAGGCUCGAAGGCGUGGGUAGCAAACAGGAUUAGAUACCCCCGUAGUCCCUGUCUCUUAUAC
This 301-nucleotide ribosomal RNA is filed under the name uncultured bacterium. Its description in RNAcentral is "partial 16S ribosomal RNA". It matches the Rfam family "Bacterial small subunit ribosomal RNA", at positions 509 to 807 of the family's 1533-position model. The record is from RNAcentral.